RNAcentral lists this ribosomal RNA (216 nucleotides) under Glomeromycotina sp. RNAcentral describes it as "partial small subunit ribosomal RNA". The record is from RNAcentral. Lineage: Eukaryota; Fungi; Glomeromycota.
GGGUCAGUAGGUUGGUCGUGCCACCGGUACGUACUGGUCUCACUGAUUCCUCCUUCCUGAAGAACCGUAAUGCCAUUAAUUUGGUGUUGCGGGGAAACAGGACUGUUACUUUGAAAAAAUUAGAGUUUAUAAAGCAAGCUAACGCUUGAAUACAUUAUCAUGGAAUAAUGAAAUAGGACGAUCGAUCCUAUUUUGUUGGUUUCUAGGAUUGACGUA